This is a long non-coding RNA of Sapajus apella (tufted capuchin), 2531 nucleotides long. RefSeq lists it as uncharacterized. NCBI's taxonomy places the organism in Eukaryota, Metazoa, Chordata, Mammalia, Primates, Cebidae. The transcript is spliced from 3 exons. The record is from RefSeq and is a predicted model, not a curated record.
GCCUGAAGCAGCUAGCAGGCAUGCCCUCCUUUCCCUACCUCAGUUCCUCUCUGACCUGACCGCACUCAGGAACCAUAAUUCUGUAGGUGAAUGUAGGCUCCCAUUUCGUCCCACAAUCAUUUCAUCAUUCAGGCACAGCUUGACCUCUAAUGUGACAUCACAAAGGCUUCUGGUCCACAAUUUUUUUUUCCUUCUUCAGAAACUACCCCAAACAAGGAAGCUUGUGUUCCAAGGUAAGAGAAUCUGAAACGAAAAACUCAGGACCCCUCACGAGCAGCCCGAUGCUGCUUUCAACCAGGAAGUUCAAGGGAGGCAGGGCUGUAAGGUCAAAACUGCAAAGCCGAAGCUCAAGACUGUAAGCAGAAAGUGGUCUUCAGAGAAAAGGAUUCACCCAAAUCGAAGAGGUUGUCGCACUUCUUUUCCCUGGCUGAUUACAUUUCCUGCCGGUAAACUUUGCUAAGCCCGGGGCGCUGGCUGUAACAGCAGAGACAGGUGUAGGGAUAUCUCCACCCUCUGGGUAUAUCUGCGGCCGCCGCUGCUGGGGGCACAGGACGAAGGGCCCUCGACCCAUUCCCAGUCCGAGCUUCCGGAGGACGCACCUGGCCCGGGGACGUCUCCCACGUGAGGGGGGCCAGCCAAGCAUCCCCAGCCCCGGGGCCAUGCAGUCUGCUCCGGCAGGAGGGGACAGUGAAAAAAGGGCGUCUUGGGGCCAGAACCUCGUGCCGGAUCCCCCGGGUUUCCCCCCAUUUCCAGGAUAUCGUUUCGCAUCAGGGACACUCUUCUGCACACCUUCUACCUCAAAGUCUUGCGCACCUACCCUUCACGUCUCUCCAAAGAACUGAAUUAAAGCGCCUACUGGCCUUGGCGGCGCAGAAGAUGUCAGAGUGGGAUCUGCUGUAGGCUCCCAGUGGCCCCCAGGAGCACCAAGUGAGAUACCUGCUGGGCCCACUGUGUCCAUUGUCCUUGGUAGCCCCGGAGGAUCAUGGAUAGGAAAACUGAUGAGGAGGGAAGUCAAGUAAUAUGCUAAAGGAUACACCAGUGGCAGAGCUGGGGUUUCCUUGAUUAAGCCUUAGGAUGUUAAGCUAAGUUGGAUUACUUAGUUGGAUGCUCCUGGGUACCCAGUGCUUCAUAACACAAGUAAGUGGAGUUCAUUUUUGCAAGUAGCUCUGAGAGCACACUGUGGUAUCCAUCCAGAAGGGUCUUCGGGAACAUUAACUGCAGAAAGUGGAAGCACAUAUGAUCUGGGGAUACAUAUAGUUCUCUGGUUUUGGGAGAUAGAAGAAGAAUUCAAGCAAAACAGGCCUCAGUGACAUUAAGCAGUGGUUGGUAGCAGGUGUGUGAUUAGAAAGACUAGGGAUGGUGUCUUUCUCAGUGAUUCAAGAAACUAAGUUUCAUAUCCUACUGAUAAUCUCAUUUUGAAGAAGGGAAAGAGCGAUGUAUUCUAAGUUUCCCUUACUCUCUGUUCAGCUGCAAAGGCAUCAUUCUCAUUAUUUUCAUGUUCAAAUCCAAUAUGAGGAUUAAUUUAAUAAGAAAUAAAUGGUAUUUUUUCCCAAUGGAUAAGUUAAAACAAAUAUUUUUGUUUUGUCUCUGAGAAACUAUAAUGAAAUAAAUCUAGUCUUCCAAAUGCAGAUUUCACUAUGUGGUUAGGUAGAUAAACAUGGCUAUAGAAAUUAGAACAUCACAAACAUUUAACAAACAGUAGCAAAAAGGACAUUAUAGUCAGCUAUUGGAGAGAAUAUAAUUCUGACCAUGGCCGAAAGAGCAAUAUUUCCUUGAUGGUAGCUUUACUCUCAUGCUUUAGUAAAUAAGUGACUUGAUAUACUACUCUGUAAGAGUGAGUUUUCAGUUGAAGAUAGCAUUCACUUUGUUUUCUGACAUCAAUACUAAAAGGCACUGAUGUAAAACCUCUUAUUAUUUUAAGUUUUCUAAAGUAUUGCCUUGAUUUUAGAUAAAAAAGGAGGACAAGUUAGGGUACAAAACAGAUGACUGACUAUUCUACACACAAGUUUUGGGUGUUUCUUCAAAAUAAGGGUGUGUCUUUGAAAAAAUAUGGUCAUUUUCCAAGCUGUGUGUCCUCCGGCAUUUUUAGUGAAUUGAGUUGAAGAGAACCCUCUCAAGCCAGGUUUCUCCAGGAUAUUCUUUUUUGCCCUCUUUUCGGCCCUCUAUUUAUCAUAUCAAUCGUUUUGUAUAUUUAAGUAGUUGGCAUAUUUCACACUGGUAACUACAUUUUAUAGGAAGGAAUAGUUAUAUGUAUGCAGAAACUAAUCUGUGAAGCUAUGAAGAUUAGCAAAGAAUUUUCUAGAUAUAAAAUUAAUAUAAAACAUCAGGUUUUAGAAGAUACACAGCCAUAAAUAUUACGUUUAAGCACUUGGUAGAUAGUGUUCUAGCGAGUAGAGAUCCCAUGUACUUUACUUUUAAAAACAUUUCAUCAUAAAAUUAAUACAGGAUGGGUACGGUAGCUUAUGCAUAUAAUCUCAGCACUCUCGGGGGGCUGAGGCAGGGGGAUCACUUGAGGCCAGGAGUUUAAGACC